Peromyscus eremicus (cactus mouse) is the source of this 1865-nucleotide long non-coding RNA. RefSeq lists it as uncharacterized. The record is from RefSeq and is a predicted model, not a curated record. The transcript is spliced from 3 exons. Lineage: Eukaryota; Metazoa; Chordata; Mammalia; Rodentia; Cricetidae.
UUUUUUUUUUUUUUCAAGCUCCUGGAUAAGAGAUAGCGCUUCAAGGUCGAAUAAACUUGUAGCAGUUUUGCUGUAGCCUUGAAAACAUUGUUUAAACUGGGAAAGGGGGGUAGGGUAGAGACUGGGGAAUCCCAACUUGACGUUCAGUGGAGACACAAAGAUAAGGUGGUACAUUGCAAUGACCUGAUUCGAAGAGUUGAUAUUCUUUCCAAAGUAAAGACAGUAAUGAAAGGCUAGGGUAGGUUAUGGAAGGUGAGGAAUUGCAGUAUUUCAGACGCCAACUUAUUUCCAGACCUUAGGGGCAAUUAAUGCAUCUGUGUAUCACACACCUGAAGAGGGUGGAAGAUCUCAUGCCACCCACUCGCUCUCAGCACCCAGCGUCUGGGGUGCCAGAUUCCUGGAGCGGUCCUGGGAAAGAAGUGAAAGUGAGGGGUGAUGGCAGAGAGGAGGCAAAGGUCCCAUGGGCCGCGGAACAGAAACCCAGAAGCUCCCUUGCCAGUCACCCAGCACAGGGCGUCAGCUUGGCGGGAGGACCCCGGGGAAGGGCAAAGGAAGAAGGUGAAGAGGUGGCAGCCCCAGGGAGGUAGGAACGCACCCGGCACGCUUGGUCUCGCAGCUCCUGGGCUGCAAGGAGCCACUGCUUACCUUAAGGUUUGAGCCACAGCCUGAGACUCCCGGAGGGGCUGGGUUGUCAGUGUCUCCAGCCAGCGGCUUCUGGCAUCAAAGGCUUUCCGAUCUCCUAGCUACCAUCCCGGAGCUCGCUUCUGUGGCCUGCGGCCCUUGCACCUCGCUCCCUCGGCCGCCGGCGUCCGCUGAGCCGCUCCCCCGCUGUUUAUUCCGGGAGCCAGGCCCCUCUCCACCGCCUCCCUGCUCCAGCGCGCGCGCACACCUCCCCCGGAGGCGCACUCCUCAGCAGGCAGGCAGCGCGAGUGGUCCAGGAAAUCCAGACGCCGGACAACUUCAGAAAAUCCGUUUAAAAUCCUUCAUCUUCGCGACAAGGUUCAAGGAACUAUUUACCUCCAUCUCCCGCCUCCACUGAGUGUCUUCACCCCAGUUCCCAACGCUUGGUAUUCUCCGUAAGCACUGUUCUGAGGCAUCUACGUUUUUCCAAAAUAAACCUAUCAUUGUUUUUAAAAUGUAGGCAUCCCCUCUCUUUAAACUUAGGGUGCUGGGAGUCUGACUGGGUCUCAGGAGGGAUAUAUUCAGCUGCACAAGUCAGGGCAAGUCUCCUUAGCCAGUACUAUAGAUGCAUGCCACCUGUCAGGGCCAGGAGCGCAGGAUGAAGCCCUUAAUUACUCUCUGGUUUUGACCCAGGAAAGACCCAGUUCUGAGGCUCCAUUUCCAGGGAGAAGCAGAUGGCUAUACUCAAGAAGAGAGUUCUAAUGGAGGACGGACGAACUCGCAAUGAGUACAGCCUACUUAAUAAUACAGCGGAUGAGAAAGGAUGGGAAACAGUCCAAGAAGCAUCACCUCUCACUAACGUGAGAGGGCCGAAAGUGACGUAAGCCCAGCGGGAAGGUGGAAGGCGAGCUGUCAAACGGAUGUGAAGGGGACUAGCCGAUGAGUCAAGCAGCUCUUCAAUGCAGGUGCUAUGACGAAGAACGCCCACAGAGGGCAGUAUGACGGAGACCGAAGGGUCAGUGCAAUUGGGCUGCAACAGUAGACAGAACAGACAGAAGGGAGAGUAACAAGAAGAGAAAGCCAAAAGGGAAAAAUAACUUGGCAACUUAAAGAACUUAAAGUUCAUCUCUUGGAGAUAAGGACGGGGCACCGACAUAUUAGCACAGGAAUGUGAUGUCAGAUUUUUAUUUGAGAAAAACUACUGGCUGUGGGCAGAGAAUGAAUAAAAGGAGGGGUGGAGGAAU